UCUAUGGCCAACAUUUUCCACCCAAAGAUGCAGCCAAGGUGCGGACUGCAGUAAAAAAAUAUGACCUUCCCACUGAGGGAUGGUUGACAUAUAAACCUGUUGGACACCUUGUAAGUUGAGGCUCUUGUUCGAUCAGCUACCAGAGUCCAAACCUCUGUCCAGCCUUUUACCAAAAAUCUGCCUAACCAUCCCUUAGAGUCAUCUGACCAGAUGUGCAGCACUUCUCAAUACUUGACUGAUUCAAGGUACUCAUCAGCCCUGCCGGUCACAUACCCCUGUCAGGGAUCAUCUUUCAAGAAUCAAGAGGAUGCAAGAAAUUUCUGCAAGACAAUUCAUGAAAGACAAGUCUACUUUCCUUAAACAGGAUUUUAUUUUAUUUGGAACUACAUAUUUUUUUUUUAUCUCCACAACAGUUGAUGGGAAACAUCACAUAACUUGUAAAAGAAGUCAAAGAACUCCAUGAGGAAUGGCAGGAAUGCUUCAGACCUUCUUCUAAGCAACCUCUGCCACAUUUGCCUGUCUCAGUCCCUAUGCACAAUACUGAUGAGCUUGAGAGAGCAGAGAUUUUACAGUCUAAUGAAGGCAAAUGAUGGUUAGUCCGUCUAUGUAGACCAUUUAGUUCAUUUUUGAGACUUUUAACUUGUGGUCUCUUUGCUUUGUGUAGACAUUUUGUAGACGCUGGAGGAGCCUCACUGGAUACGAGGGUCCGUCGCAUGCUUUCAUGUGUACCGACAUAUGAGCUGGCAUCCUCUAUGAAUUGGGCUGGGAAGAAGUUUAAAGAGCAGUCGAGGCAAAAGAGGGCAUUCAAGGAUAUUUUUGGAAUAUGUGUAUAUUAGUUGAGUCAUUACUAUAAACGCUUUUGUAUUUUCCUUCAUUUUGCAUUCCCAAAAAAUCCACCUCACUCCAGCCAUUAUUCACCUCUUCCAGUACCUCUAUUAAUGUAUUAAUUUGCAUACAUUUUAUAUCCUGCUGUUGUUGCUGCUUUGAGACAAUGUCUGUUGUGAAAAGCACUAUAGAAAUAAACUUGACUUUUGUUUUGUUUAGAUGCUUUGACUAUGCAGAUGGGUUUGGGUAAGCUGUCCCAAUAUGAAUAUAACCAGGCAGUCCAGAAAUGGCUCCAAUAUGCAACAUACCAUGUGGGUGGAACUGCACAUCAAACGACUACAAUAGUUCUUUUAGUGCCACACGAAACUAAUAUUAUUUUAAGUGCUUCGGUUGACUGAAUUAAAAAAAAAAAGCCACAAAAAAAGUAUUUUGACUGAACUAGAUGUUGAAAAAAUAUCAAAUUAUAAUGUUGAAUGAAUGACUUUUUAAUUCAUUUUUGCUUGAAAUCUCAGUGCAGUUUCAACAAUAAAAA
Molecule: long non-coding RNA, 1357 nt
Organism: Silurus meridionalis
Lineage: Eukaryota; Metazoa; Chordata; Actinopteri; Siluriformes; Siluridae
Exons: 3
Source: RefSeq, a predicted model, not a curated record